UAUGGCUAUAUCACAUUGAAACAUUGGUUCUCAUAUGAUCAUUGAAGUUAAGCAACACUGAACCUGGUCAGUACCUACAUGGGUGAUUGCAUGGGAAUACCAGAUGCUGUAUG
This is a non-coding RNA of Acanthosepion pharaonis, 113 nucleotides long. Lineage: Eukaryota; Metazoa; Mollusca; Cephalopoda; Sepiida; Sepiidae. The record is from the annotation of a GenBank genome assembly.